CCUACGGGAGGCAGCAGUGAGGAAUAUUGGUCAAUGGCCGGAAGGCUGAACCAGCCAUGCCGCGUGAAGGUCAGUGCCCUAUGGGUUGUAAACUUCUUUUAUAUGGGAAUAAAAUGUUCCACGUGUGGGAUUUUGUAUGUACCAUAUGAAUAAGGAUCGGCUAACUCCGUGCCAGCAGCCGCGGUAAUACGGAGGAUCCGAGCGUUAUCCGGAUUUAUUGGGUUUAAAGGGAGCGUAGGUGGAUUGUUAAGUCAGUAGUGAAAGUUUGCGGCUCAACCGUAAAAUUGCAGUUGAAACUGGCAGUCUUGAGUACAAUAGAGGUGGGCAGAAUUCGUGGUGUAGCGGUGAAAUGCUUAGAUAUCACGAAGAACUCCGAUUGCGAAGGCAGCUCACUGGACUGCAACUGACACUGAGGCUCGAAAGUGUGGGUAUCAAACAGGAUUAGAUACCCCAGUAGUC
RNAcentral lists this ribosomal RNA (459 nucleotides) under uncultured bacterium. RNAcentral describes it as "partial 16S ribosomal RNA". It matches the Rfam family "Bacterial small subunit ribosomal RNA", at positions 338 to 795 of the family's 1533-position model. The record is from RNAcentral.